Molecule: long non-coding RNA, 336 nt
Filed under: Jatropha curcas
Lineage: Eukaryota; Viridiplantae; Streptophyta; Magnoliopsida; Malpighiales; Euphorbiaceae
Description: long non-coding RNA (JCUR_LNC001811)
Source: RNAcentral
AUUAAAUAAUGAAAGUCCAUUUUAAAUAUAUGAACUGUAUUUUGAAUGCAUAUGCAUAAUAAGUUAAUGGGCCCGAAUCCAUAAAUAUUUGUAGAAUGUCGAAUUGGAAUAAGUUAGGCUUACUACGGGCUUCGGGGGCCUUAAGCCCACCCAGGUCCUAGUGCCGGUCCGGCCCACGAAAAUGGGUCGUGACAUCUGCUAAGAUCAAAUAUAUUUCUAAACAGAAUAUUUCAAUUUUCUAUAUUUUUAUUUUAUUCCUAUAAAAAUAUUAUUAUGAUGUAUUCACUUAUAUUCAUUGUUAAUGAAUUAUUAAGUUUUCAAAAAAUCAACUAGCUG